UUGCAUUGUAUUCAAUAUGUUGUCCCUUUACAAAACGACAAGGGUCCCCUUUAGAUAUGAGGGGUGAGUCCCAACACAGUACAUGUCUAAUAAAUGACGGGGAAAUGCUUCUAGUACAGCUGUAUAACGGCUCAGCACGGAUUUGUACUAUUCUUGCAUAUUCUGUUAGUCCUCAUUGCAUGCGCUCGUGGGUUUACCGCCUUUCCAUGACAGUCAUCGAUUAUCAUAUUGCCUUGAGGUACAUCAUGGUGAGUCUUCGACAUACCUUGCCAAGCGAGUGCUUCGGGAACGGGCCUUGGACCGUGCUUUAAUCCCAUCGAGGCCGGAUUUGAACUGUCACACAAGUCUCAAAUUGGUCUUCCCUGAUUUUGACCGUAUACACCAACUUAAGUCUAUACAGCAUCAAAUACCAGCAAUGGUUUCUUUAGAGACAAUGUACGUCUUUGUUAAGCUGGGACCUAUGCUGUCCUCUCCGUUUCUCCUAUUCCUUCUCGUUGUCCCUGUAGUUUCUUCCUUUUGCUACUCUAUUAGGGAUCUAAGCAUUGACUAAUUAUUUUUUGCAGCUGUGACAGCAUUAAUGGCUUGUAUUUACGUUCUAGCGAUGCUAGUGGUACUAGACCUAUCAAGUAGACUACUUAACUGCUUUAAUCCCAACAU
Molecule: long non-coding RNA, 657 nt
Filed under: Nicotiana benthamiana
Lineage: Eukaryota; Viridiplantae; Streptophyta; Magnoliopsida; Solanales; Solanaceae
Description: long non-coding RNA (NBEN_LNC041588)
Source: RNAcentral